AAUGAUAAAUGAGAAGGACUAUUAUUGAUGUAUUUGCUUUCCUUUUUUAAAUUGCUGUAUAUUUACAGGUUCUCUGGCAAAAUAAAGGAAACUGCUCAAGAUUCUGAAGGUUAGUAUGCUUUCCUAGUUAAGGAAUUGGUAAAACAGAUAGCAUUCCUUCAGAAACAAAUUUAAUAAUUUUCCUUGUGGAAAACAAAUCUAGUUGUGGUUUUGGUUGAAAAUUUGGUGCACAAGUUCUUCAAUUCUCUUGCUAAGUUAGACGGGCCACAAUAGAAAACCCCUGCACAAGAAAACCCACAAUCUCAGUUAGGAAAAACAACUCAACCUUAUAUCAUUCUUAUAUAUACUAAGGUCAUUUAUUUCAAUCAUUAAACAAUAUACAAAGUUCAGAGUGUAUUUCUCACCAAUCUUUGCUCCUCCAUGCUUGCGAGCCAAUCUGGAAAAUAUGUUGAACCAAUUUGGUCGGGCAAAAUGUGUGUGUAUCUGUGAAUUCCAAGAGAAAAUUAUUCCUUAAUCUGGCAGUAGCAAAAUGUGUAGACUUGACAUGACAAAUUGUUAUUCCUAAUGAUUUUCAGUUGGAGUAUUUAAUAAGAACAUGGUUUGAAAUGAGAUAAAAUUAGGAAUAUUGCUUUGGUGUGCCGAACUUGAUCAACAGCACUAGGACAAUAACAUAGCAAUGUUUUAAACCGAAGGAUCAAACCUAAACCAUCUUAUUUGUGAACUCCACUUAGAGCUUGCUAGUAAUUUCUAUAUUGAAAAAACUAUAGGGAAGAUGCACUUACUGGAGUUCUGGAAACUAUGUCAACGCCAUUCUUGGCACGAUACAAGGCCUGAAUGACGCUUAGCAAUGCUGAACGAACAUCUCCCUCUGGAUACACACUAGUUAGGAAAUUAUGCAUUUCCACCACAGCCUUAAAAGAUUACAAGAAAACUAGAACGGUCAUAAAAUGCUUGAAGAUCUGAAUAAACAAUAUAGUUGCACUAACUCAGUUUUUCUCAGGAGCAUCCAAUGCCAGAGUCAAAUCAGGCAUACCUGUUUUUUGGUUGAAUUUGAGAUUUCCUUCAUGACAUCUCUGAACCAAUCAAAGGAGCUUUGCUCUUUUGUAACCCAAUAAAGAUAUGCUUUUGAUGGACCCUUUGUUAAGCUGCAUUCUCUGAGAUCACUCUAUUUCAAAUGCCCAAAUAUGUUGUUUGUUUCAUGGAAUAGAAGAAGAGCGAUUGAAUUUUAAUAAAGGCGCUAUGACAGUAAGUAUAAAUAGCAGAAGAAGAAGAAAGCUUACAUGAUCACUUUGUGCUGUCUUCACACCUUGAGCUACAUCUUUGAGGAUGCUAAUGAAAGGUGUGGCACCUAUGCCAAGGCCAAUUAGCACCAGAAUGUCAUACUUUACAUGGUCUUGAGAGGCAGAACCAUAAGGGCCAUCUAUGUACAGUUUUGGACACCCUUGUAAUCCAGACAACACUGCCUGCGGAUAAUCGAACAAUUUUUAGACCUGAGAAUUUGAGAAGCAUAGUUCUUCACUUGAAAAAUUCAAUUGUUACUUUACCUCUUGGAAUAGAGCAUAUAUUUGGUAACUCCAGUCUCCAAGAGUUCUAAUGUGCACACUGAGGUAGUCAUCUUGUGGUCCUGAUGUCAAGGAAAAUGGAUGCCUGAAAAUUUAUACAUAAGAAACUCACAUAGACUCUAAAAUUUCCAUAACAAACUAGAUUAGUGGUACAAGGUCUCUUGAAUAAAAAAGAUCAAGCGAUGGAAGUAGAAGUACCAUUGAAAAGAUGAAAUUUGGGGGCACUGAAUGAAUAUAUACAUGCCACUCUGGUACUUAAAACCAUCUGGUUUUUGCAUCUUGAGGUGCAGAACUUUUCCUGGGUAGAGACUUACCUGCAUGCAAAAUACAAAAGGAGAAUAAGAAAAUAUUUAUCAUCAUCAAGAACAAUAAUAGAAACUAGUAAAUUUCAGAUUUUGGACUGUACCAUUAGAGUUUAUCAAAUGAAAAAGAAAUUUUAAAAACAGUUUUUAUGAAAAGUUGAAUAUAGUAAAGUUGAUCAAAUACCUUCAAAACAUCAACUUCGUAGGAUCCUGAUCUAAUUGCUCGGAAGAACCUCUCUCCAGCGUACAAUAAAACUGGAAAAGCAAUGUACAUCCAUGUCUGCACACAGAAAGAUGGAGGGAAUGAAAAUCUACAUCAAAAUUUGUUCUGUAAUUUUUUUUAGUUAAAGAGCUUUAGGACUUAAACUAUCUUAGGCAUGUAAAAUAAACUAAUAAUGAUGAGUAGAUUAAUCACCACACUAAUGAGGAGUAGUUUAAAUGAUUUAGAAUAUGUCUUAGUUUAAUAUUGCAUGCUCUCUCUCUCUCUCUCUCUCUCUCUAAAUAUUUUAUCAUUUUUGGGUUACAAGAGGAAGAUUAUAUUCAUCAUUGAUCUUAUUUAAAAAGAGAGGCACAAAUUGAGUUCUACAUGAAUGGGUAUCACGAGUUUCAAAGGGGUUUCCUAUAAAAGACUAAAAGCAUGUUUGGAUCAUUUUCUUUUUUCCUUAGAAUCAAUUAUAACACCUAGAAGCUACUCACAUAAGCUUCUUCCUAGAAUUGAUUUUAACUUUAGAGCCAAUGGUAGAAGGGUUUCCAAACAUGCACUAAGCUUGAAUGAAUUAUUCAAUUUUUAACCAUUAGAUGCAUUUUGUUUAGAGGAGGGGAAAAAACUUUUCACUAUAUAAACUUUGAGAUUAGAGCUAACAAUAGUGUAACUUUCAAAAAAAAAAAAAACAAUAGUGUAAACAUAAAGUGCUAAAAUUACGCCAAAAAUAUCACAAAGAAAGUGAUAUAACAAGGAUGAAAGAUAGACAUUAAGAGGCUUACCGUUUUCUCCGCCCACUUGUUUGUUAGAAACAAGAACAUGGAGUGAAUAAUGAGCAAUAUGUACACAAGGACAAACAAGUGGUGGGAGUACCAAAAGGUGUCAUAUCCAGUGACCUUUCGGAGGGACAAGGGUAGCACCGGUGAGCCACGCCUAGGCCACUUUGUUGCUAGUGAAAAUGCAAUGGCCAUUAACACCACCAUGGCAAUCCCACUUGCCACCUCCGUCGUGGCUAAAAUUUCUAUGUACGAUGGUUGGUGAUACCCGAAUCCAGCGGCGAUAGUUUGCCGGAAAAUUGAUCUGUCUGAGUCACUGAUUCUUGGGAAGUCACAGGCAAGGUGCGUCCCACCGUGCAAGAUCACACCCACCACUAUUCCUCCCGCAAUAACCUGCAUAUAUAGCCCAUUUGAAUAACUUUAUCAAAAAAAAAUUAUUUCUACAGGUUGAUGUUGUGAAAUCUUAACUAUGAAACAUCACAAUUGAUUAUGAUCGACCACAGAGGCUAGAUCAUGUGCCUUUAAGUGAGGUUAAGAACUUAAUUUAGAUGAAUGCAAGCCAUAUAGUGUUACAUCAUAUAAUGGAUUUCCCAUCUUAGGAGUGAAUAUUGUGUGACUUAAAGAUGUUUAAGCUAUUGACAUGAAAUGCUGGAUCAAUAAGAGGGCCUACCUUAUGGAAAUUAAUGUUGUCAUUAAAUGGAAUGACAUAGUUAACACGACGGUUCUUGCGGAGCCAAGUGAUGGUAUUUCUACAAACAGGGAGAAGAACAAGGGCCAUGUUGAGUUUCAAGGUCUCAGCUGCACCUUUUGCAGUUGGAAGACAGUACCCCAUGACUUCAAACCCUGAUCUAAGGCGAUACUGAGCAAAUUUCCAUGAAAACAACCCAAUGCAUGCAAGCAGCCACACAAGAACAAUCCAAGUACGCCGCCAGUAGGUUCUGAACAACACUUCAGCCCUUGACAUUGGUUCUUGUUCUUCACACGAGCCACUGUUGUGAAAAUUCUCUGUGCUGUCCCUUGCUGAUACUUGUUUCAUUGGAGAAGUUGUGACUGUCUUUGAUAAGUUUGCCUUGAAUAGAGACUCCAUCUGAGAUAUCUACAUACAAUGAAUUUCUUACUGUUAAUAGUAUGUUUGAACCGGCUUCUCUUUCCUCAUAACCAAUUCCGGAACCCAAAAGCUACUCAAAAAGAAGCUUUUUCCCAAAAUUGAUUUUGGCUCCAUAAUGCACUAAAUAAUAUAUAUAUACAUAUGGUUGAGGGUCAUCUGGUGAAUCCUCAAUUUGCAAGGUUGAGGCUAAUUUGUACCUCAAUGUAGCCUUUGUUUUUGGUGUCAAUAGAUUCCAUGAUCAGAGCUGCAUAGUCCUCUGCUUCAUCACGUGUCACCGAUAGCUUAUUUAUAGAAGCUGUUAGUAAAAUUGUCUGCAUAAGGACCAAAGUGAUCAUCAAAUCAAGGUACAUGAACAUGCAGAAAAACUAAUCACAUAUAAUGAUGAUUUGUGCACACCCACUUGAAUUAAUUAUAGAAGUAUAUUAUAGUUUGUCUGCGGAAGAGCCAAAACUAACACGAACAUGCACAACAUGACAAUUAACACAUGAAAUUUUGAGCAGCCUCAAAGCUAGUAAUAUUAUUAUUAACUAUAAGAAAAUAAGUAGCCAAUCAUUAAAUAAGUGUUACCUGCUUUAUGUCAGUCUCUGUAAUUCUACCAUCCAUGUUUCUGUUGCACCUAAAGUAAAAAAAGCAUAACAAAAAUUACAAACUGAUUUCAGAGUUGUGAAGAAAAGAGUUUAGUAGAGGAAUUUUUAUUUAUUUUUACAUGUCAAAGAAGAUUCUCAUUCUUGAGUUAAAAGAGUCAUCUUUCAUCCUAGACCAAAAAUUGUGCAAAUCAGUCUUGGUGAUAUCAGAUUUCCAAUAUUUGCCUCCUCUUAGUGCUCUUAGCAAUUCGGUGGCUAUCCCUGGUGAUGAUUGCAUCCCUUUUGGAAAAUGACAAACUCCAAAAGUGAAUAAUUAAAAUAAUGGUUGGCAAAGUAACAUCAAAACAGGUCGGCAUACAUAGACAAAACUUUCUAAAAAAGAAUAAAAGGAUCAAGGAGACUUAAACUUGAGGAAAUGUUAAACAUUGCAUAUUGAAAUAAAUUGAGUAGGUAAAGGGUUAAUAAAAAUUAAAGAUGAUAUAACUUGUCUUUGUAUUCUUGCACUAUAGUGUAUGCGGAGAACAUGGCCAACUGCUAUAAGUGACACAAGAUAAACAGAACAGGCCCCGAAAAGGACUGGUCAAUCAUGCAUUGUGAAUUAUUAUGAAAUGAUUUAUGAUUAUGAAGCAAAGUGAUAAUGUUAUAGUACUAAAAAUGUUUGACUUUUUCUAUAUUCUCACCAAUGCAGAACCCAAAUUCAGACCAAGCUACAACCGGUUCAGGGCCGCCCCCGGUCCAGGCCACUCGGUCGAACCGCUUCUCCACUUCCUUCCACUCCAUUCUACCCUGACCGACAAUGUCAUUGAGGAAUCCUAUGCUUUGAAUAGCUUCAUUUUCUGCCACCUCAUGCAGUGGUGAGUCAUCAAAGCCGGUUCGAACUGGAGACAAGGACUGAAGAACAUACUCAGCAGUCCAUGAAGAAGAAGAGGAGGAAGAGAAGGAGCAUGAGGAGGAUGAAGAAGAGGGUGAUGAUUUAAAGAGAGAAAUGAGAGAAUGGUCAUGAAAAGUUUGAGCCUUUUCAAACCCAUCCAUUGAUGGAUUCUGAAAAAAAUGAAGCUUCUUUAUGAUAAUCAAGGUUUCAUGGAAGGUGGAGAUUCUAUUAUAUCAUGUUCUCAAGAAAAUGUAGAGUGUGUGUGGUGAUGGAAAUAUAAAUUUGCUUCCAAGGAAAGAAUGUCAAUGGAUUUUAAGUAUUUGACAUUUGAAGCAGAGAAGAUGAGAGUUCUUAGCUGGAGUUGCUGGAAUGAAUGGAAUUGUUUAAAUUUUUCCUAGUGGGUUCAAGAAGUGGC
This 5820-nucleotide long non-coding RNA is filed under the name Lotus japonicus. RNAcentral describes it as "long non-coding RNA (LJAP_LNC001850)". Lineage: Eukaryota; Viridiplantae; Streptophyta; Magnoliopsida; Fabales; Fabaceae. The record is from RNAcentral.